UUGUUUCAGUGGGAAGAGCAAGGGGCAUUGCCCUUUAAAUCCUUCAGUGGUUCGAAUCCACAUCUGAGCG
RNAcentral lists this transfer RNA (70 nucleotides) under Saccharum officinarum (sugarcane). RNAcentral's name for it is "tRNA-Leu". Lineage: Eukaryota; Viridiplantae; Streptophyta; Magnoliopsida; Poales; Poaceae. The record is from RNAcentral.